GUGGGGAAUAUUGGGCAAUGGGCGCAAGCCUGAUUCAGCAAUGCCGCGUGCAGGAAGAAGGCCUUCGGGUUGUAAACUGCUUUUGUACGGAACGAAAAGGCUCUGGUUAAUACCUGGGGCUCAUGACGGUACCGUAAGAAUAAGCACCGGCUAACUACGUGCCAGCAGCCGCGGUAAUACGUAGGGUGCAAGCGUUAAUCGGAAUUACUGGGCGUAAAGCGUGCGCAGGCGGUUUUGUAAGACAGACGUGAAAUCCCCGGGCUCAACCUGGGAAUGGCGCUUGUGACUGCAGCGCUGGAGUGCGGCAGAGGGGGAUGGAAUUCCGCGUGUAGCAGUGAAAUGCGUAGAUAUGCGGAGGAACACCGAUGGCGAAGGCAAUCCCCUGGGCCUGCACUGACGCUCAUGCACGAAAGCGUGGGGAGCAAACAGGAUUAGAAACCCUAGUAGUCC
This 450-nucleotide ribosomal RNA is filed under the name uncultured bacterium. RNAcentral describes it as "partial 16S ribosomal RNA". It matches the Rfam family "Bacterial small subunit ribosomal RNA", at positions 354 to 796 of the family's 1533-position model. The record is from RNAcentral.